UUGGAGGGCAAGUCUGGUGCCAGCAGCCGCGGUAAUUCCAGCUCCAAUAGCGUAUAUUAAAGUUGUUGCAGUUAAAAAGCUCGUAGUUGAAUUUCGGGGUCAGUAGGUCGGUCGUGCCACUGGUAUGAACUGGUUUUACUGAUUCCUCCCUCUUGAAGAACUGUAAUGCCAUUAAUUUGGUGUUGCAGGGAGUCAGGACUGUUACUUUGAAAAAAUUAGAGUGUUUAAAGCAGGCUUUAGCUUGAAUACAUUAGCAUGGAAUAAUGAAAUAGGACGUUUGAUCCUAUUUUGUUGGUUUCUAGGAUUGACGUAAUGAUUAAUAGGGAUAGUUGGGGGCAUUAGUAUUCAAUUGUCAGAGGUGAAAUUCUUGGAUUUAUUGAAGACUAACUACUGCGAAAGCAUUUGCCAAGGAUGUUUUCAUUAAUCAAGAACGAAAGUUAGGGGAUCGAAGACGAUCAGAUACCGUCGUAGUCUUAACCAUAAACUAUGCCGACUAGGGAUCGGAUGAUGUUAAUUUUUUAAUGACUCAUUCGGCGCCUUACGGGAAAC
This 549-nucleotide ribosomal RNA is filed under the name uncultured Glomeromycotina. RNAcentral describes it as "SSU rRNA". It matches the Rfam family "Eukaryotic small subunit ribosomal RNA", at positions 548 to 1098 of the family's 1831-position model. Lineage: Eukaryota; Fungi; Glomeromycota. The record is from RNAcentral.